GAUCUACGGCUGGUGUUAGAGCUAUCUGCUUGAGCUUGAGCACGUACAUUAAUAGCCAAUUGUCUCCCAGUUGUGUAUUGCUUCUUGGAACAUCUACCGGUUCCGGCGAAACGAGAAGAGUUAGUAAGGUGGAGACUGCCUUCCAGAACCGCCUGAGUGGAACCUAGAACCGAGGCCAUGUUUGGUGCUAUAAAGUUUUGGUAAUGGACGAAGCCUGAGGUAUUUCAG
This 228-nucleotide long non-coding RNA is filed under the name Zostera marina. RNAcentral's name for it is "long non-coding RNA (ZMAR_LNC001747)". Lineage: Eukaryota; Viridiplantae; Streptophyta; Magnoliopsida; Alismatales; Zosteraceae. The record is from RNAcentral.